GGAAUAUUGGACAAUGGGCGCAAGCCUGAUCCAGCCAUGCCGCGUGUGUGAAGAAGGCCUUCGGGUUGUAAAGCACUUUCAGCGGGGAGGAAGGGUGUUGUGUUAAUAGCACAGCAUUUUGACGUUACCCGCAGAAGAAGCACCGGCUCACUCCUUGCACGCAGCCGCGGUAAUACGGAGGGUGCAAGCGUUAAUCGGAAUUACUGGGCGUAAAGCGGACGGAGGGGGUAUGUUAAGUUGGAUGUGAAAGCCCCGGGCUCAACCUGGGAAUUGCAUUCAAAACUGGCAUGCUAGAGUAUGUGAGAGGGGGGUAGAAUUCCAAGUGUAGCGGUGAAAUGCGUAGAGAUUUGGAGGAAUACCAGUGGCGAAGGCGGCCCCCUGGCACAAUACUGACGCUCAGGUGCGAAAGCGUGGGGAGCAAAC
RNAcentral lists this ribosomal RNA (423 nucleotides) under uncultured bacterium. RNAcentral describes it as "bacterial SSU rRNA". It matches the Rfam family "Bacterial small subunit ribosomal RNA", at positions 358 to 773 of the family's 1533-position model. The record is from RNAcentral.